This is a non-coding RNA of Xyrichtys novacula (pearly razorfish), 1140 nucleotides long. NCBI's taxonomy places the organism in Eukaryota, Metazoa, Chordata, Actinopteri, Labriformes, Labridae. The record is from the annotation of a GenBank genome assembly.
GUAAAUACGGCGGUGAAGUUAGUUUCAGGUUGGAUAUAUUUUCCUGUAAAUACGGCGGUGAAGUUAGUUUUAGGUUGGAUAUAUUUUCCUGUAAAUACGGCGGUGAAGUUAGUUUCAGGUUGGAUAUAUUUUCAUGUAAAUACAGCGGUGAAGUUAGUUUCAGGUUGGAUAUAUUUUCCUGUAAAUACGGCGGUGAAGUUAGUUUUAGGUUGGAUAUAUUUUCCUGUAAAUACGGCGGUGAAGUUAGUUUCAGGUUGGAUAUAUUUUCAUGUAAAUACGGCGGUGAAGUUAGUUUCAGGUUGGAUAUAUUUUCCUGUAAAUACGGCGGUGAAGUUAGUUUCAGGUUGGAUAUAUUUUCCUGUAAAUACGGCGGUGAAGUUAGUUUUAGGUUGGACAUAUUUUCAUGUAAAUACGGCGGUGAAGUUAGUUUCAGGUUGGAUAUAUUUUCCUGUAAAUACGGCGGUGAAGUUAGUUUCAGGUUGGAUAUAUUUUCCUGUAAAUACGGCGGUGAAGUUAGUUUUAGGUUGGAUAUAUUUUCAUGUAAAUACGGCGGUGAAGUUAGUUUCAGGUUGGAUAUAUUUUCCUGUAAAUACGGCGGUGAAGUUAGUUUCAGGUUGGAUAUAUUUUCCUGUAAAUACGGCGGUGAAGUUAGUUUCAGGUUGGAUAUAUUUUCCUGUAAAUACGGCGGUGAAGUUAGUUUUAGGUUGGAUAUAUUUUCCUGUAAAUACGGCGGUGAAGUUAGUUUCAGGUUGGAUAUAUUUUCCUGUAAAUACGGCGGUGAAGUUAGUUUCAGGUUGGAUAUAUUUUCCUGUAAAUACGGCGGUGAAGUUAGUUUCAGGUUGGAUAUCUGACGGACAUUCUCUGAGGAUCUACCGGUGUCUUCUCACUCUCCAUAACCGGGAAUAACAACAGCAGCGCGGUUAAAUCUACUCGACACCCUCACUGUCAACGUCGGUGUUGAAUAAGGGACCGUCAAUAAAUUACCGGUUGAUGUUCUCAGAAAAGGCUGUUUUCUAAUUGACCUAAAAUUGAUUUCUAAUAAUAGUACUAAGGUCGAUCAAUAAGACAAACAUUAGUGAUCAGUUUUCAUUGAUCCCCUAAAGUUCUUUGUGCUCCUUACUUUUUUAACUCAGGAGAACA